UACGGGGGGGGCAAGCGUUGUUCGGAAUUACUGGGCGUAAAGGGCUCGUAGGCGGCCAACUAAGUCGGAUGUGAAAUCCCCAGGCUCAACCUGGGAACUGCAUCUGAUACUGGAUGGCUUGAAUCCGGGAGGGGGAUGCAGAAUUCCAGGUGUAGCGGUGAAAUGCGUAGAUAUCUGGAGGAAUACCGGUGGCGAAGGCGGCAUCCUGGACCGGCAUUGACGCUGAGGAGCGAAAGCCAGGGGAGCAAACGGG
Molecule: ribosomal RNA, 253 nt
Filed under: uncultured bacterium
Lineage: Bacteria
Description: partial 16S ribosomal RNA
Rfam family: Bacterial small subunit ribosomal RNA
Source: RNAcentral